GAUGAACGCUGGCGGCGUGCCUAAUACAUGCAAGUCGAGCGAACGGACGAUAAGCUUGCUUCUCUGAUGUUAGCGGCGGACGGGUGAGUAACACGUGUAUAACCUACCUAUAAUACUGGGAUAACUUCGGGAAACCGGAGCUAAUACCGUAUGAUAUUUUGAACCGCAUGGUUCAAAAGUGAAAGACGGUCUUGCUGUCACUUAUAGAUGGAUCCGCGCUGCAUUAGCUAGUUGGUAAGGUAACGGCUUACCAAGGCAACGAUGCAUAGCCGACCUGAGAGGGUGAUCGGCCACACUGGAACUGAGACACGGUCCAGAGUACUACGGGAGGCAGCAGUAGGGAAUCUUACGCAAUGGGCGAAAGCCUGACGGAGCAACGCCGCGUGAGUGAUGAAGGUCUUCGGAUCGUAAAACUCUGUUAUUAGGGAAGAACAUAUGUGUAAGUAACUGUGCACAUCUUGACGGUAACUAAUCAGAAAGCCACGGCUAACUACGUG
RNAcentral lists this ribosomal RNA (497 nucleotides) under uncultured bacterium. RNAcentral's name for it is "partial 16S ribosomal RNA". It matches the Rfam family "Bacterial small subunit ribosomal RNA", at positions 28 to 507 of the family's 1533-position model. The record is from RNAcentral.